This is a non-coding RNA of Podarcis lilfordi (Lilford's wall lizard), 73 nucleotides long. The record is from the annotation of a GenBank genome assembly. Lineage: Eukaryota; Metazoa; Chordata; Lepidosauria; Squamata; Lacertidae.
ACCUGGGGUAGCUCAGUUGGUAGUGCAGGAGAUGCUUAAUCUCAGGGUCGUGGGUUUAGUCCCACGCUGGGCA